GAAGCUGGCUAGACAGUCGCUGCGCGCGCAAGCGCGGAGAGGAAAGUCCGGGCUCCAUAGAGCAGGAUGCCGGUUAACGACCGGAGGCCGUGAGGCCAUGGAAAGUGCCACAGAAAAUACACCGCCGAUGGCCGCGCAAGCGGAUCAGGUAAGGUUGAAAUGGCGAGGUAAGAGCUCACCGCGCACCCGGCAACGGGAGUGGCAGGGUAAACCCCAUCCGGAGCAAGACCAAAUAGGCAGGCGUUGAGGCGGCUCGUCGAGCCUGCGGGUAGGUUGCUUGAGUUCACGGGUAACCGUGCGCCUAGAGGAAUGACUGUCCACGACAGAACCCGGCUUAUCGGCCAGCUUCACCC
RNAcentral lists this RNase P RNA (353 nucleotides) under Hydrogenophilales bacterium CG_4_10_14_3_um_filter_58_23. RNAcentral describes it as "RNase P RNA component class A". It matches the Rfam family "Bacterial RNase P class A". From Rfam's summary of the family: Ribonuclease P (RNase P) is a ubiquitous endoribonuclease, found in archaea, bacteria and eukarya as well as chloroplasts and mitochondria. Its best characterised activity is the generation of mature 5'-ends of tRNAs by cleaving the 5'-leader elements of precursor-tRNAs. RNAcentral also lists the same sequence under 2 other names. The record is from RNAcentral. Lineage: Bacteria; Pseudomonadati; Pseudomonadota; Hydrogenophilia; Hydrogenophilales.